This 460-nucleotide ribosomal RNA is filed under the name uncultured bacterium. RNAcentral's name for it is "partial 16S ribosomal RNA". It matches the Rfam family "Bacterial small subunit ribosomal RNA", at positions 338 to 795 of the family's 1533-position model. The record is from RNAcentral.
CCUACGGGAGGCAGCAGUGAGGAAUAUUGGUCAAUGGGCGCUAGCCUGAACCAGCCAAGUAGCGUGCAGGAUGACUGCCCUAUGGGUUGUAAACUUCUUUUAUAUGGGAAUAAAGUGCAGUAUGUAUACUGCUUUGCAUGUACCGUAUGAAUAAGGAUCGGCUAACUCCGUGCCAGCAGCCGCGGUAAUACGGAGGAUCCGAGCGUUAUCCGGAUUUAUUGGGUUUAAAGGGAGCGUAGGCGGGUUGUCAAGUCAGUUGUGAAAGUUUGCGGCUCAACCGUAACCUUGCAGUGGAUACUGGCGGCCUUGAGUACAGUAGAGGUAGGCGGAAUUCGUGGUGUAGCGGUGAAAUGCUUAGAUAUCACGAAGAACUCCGAUUGCGAAGGCAGCCUGCUGGACUGGAACUGACGCUGAUGCUCGAAAGUGUGGGUAUCGAACAGGAUUAGAUACCCGAGUAGUC